RNAcentral lists this ribosomal RNA (396 nucleotides) under uncultured Dechloromonas sp. Its description in RNAcentral is "bacterial SSU rRNA". It matches the Rfam family "Bacterial small subunit ribosomal RNA", at positions 961 to 1351 of the family's 1533-position model. The record is from RNAcentral. Lineage: Bacteria; Pseudomonadati; Pseudomonadota; Betaproteobacteria; Rhodocyclales; Azonexaceae.
GCGAAAAACCUUUACNUACCCUUGACAUGUCCAGAAGNUAUUAGAGAAUUUGAGUNUNCCCNGAAAGGGAACUGGAACACAGGUGCUGCAUGACUGUCGUCAGCUCCGUGUCGUGAGAUGNUGGGUUAAGUCCCGCAACGAGCGCAACCCUUGUCGUUAAUUGCCAUCAUUUAGUUGGGCACUUUAACGAGACUGCCGGUGACAAACCGGAGGAAGGUGGGGAUGACGUCAAGUCCUCAUGGCCCUUAUGGGUAGGGCUUCACACGUCAUACAAUGGUCGGUACAGAGGGUUGCCAAGCCGCGAGGUGGAGCCAAUCCCAGAAAGCCGAUCGUAGUCCGGAUUGCAGGCUGCAACUCGCCUGCAUGAANUCGGAAUCGCAUAGUAAUCGCGGAUCA